This 2872-nucleotide long non-coding RNA is filed under the name Capsicum annuum. Its description in RNAcentral is "long non-coding RNA (CANN_LNC004733)". Lineage: Eukaryota; Viridiplantae; Streptophyta; Magnoliopsida; Solanales; Solanaceae. The record is from RNAcentral.
UUAAAUUUUGGAAAUUUGUCUUUCAAGACUAACAAAAUACACUCUCUCUUUCUUCAACUUCCAAGAUCAAACAUCCACUUUCUCUUCAAUAAUAGAUGAAGAUGUAAAGAACACAAUUUUUGAAUCUUGAAGUUCUAAGGUUCAAGUUGGACCCCAAACAUCAACAACACCUUUCCAACUUAAAAAUACAUCACAAUAAACACCAUACAUGUUCAAACCUUGAACCAACAACACAUCACACGUUCAAGUCUCAAACCCGAAACAAUAAUCGGUCAUAAUUUUGUUCAUAACAACAAUAUCAACAUCAACAUUUCAAGCUCAGAUCUUCAUCUAGACUCAAGAGUGUUAGUGAUGAAUAAACUAACCCUAGAAACAACAAAACAAACAAAAUGAAUUCUUGAUCUAGACAAAAAAACAAAAUUUUUGUCCAAGACAACGACAAAAUCUAGAUUCGGCCAAGAACUAGAACAAGAUUUCAAUUUUCUAGAAUUUUUCAAUUUUCAAUGUUUUUUUUAUAUAUUUUUUUGAAUUUUCAUCCAAGAGAACCCAAGAUUGGUAGUGUAGGAACACAACCAACCUUUAUUUGAUACCAAAUGAGAUCAAAACUCCCCAAGAACACACGAAACAAACACCAAAAUUAGUCCACUAGUUCAAAAACUAUGGACCCUUUUGAUGAUCUAUCUCGGAUUAGCAAGAAGAACAAGAAAGAAAGUGAUAUCAAAUGUAAAACACACUAAAAAAUAGCAACAACACGUGAUGAACAAGAUGAACACAAGAAAAAAACUUUCGGAUUCAACAAGACACAAAAACAGUCCACUACAAAGUGCAAUAAGAUAAAGAUGAUAGAUAGACAAAUGAAGAGGUGAUAUUAACAACCCAAAAGCUUAUUCCACUUUUGAAACUUUAAUAUCAUACACAACCUAAACCUAUCUCUGACAUGACCUUAAGGGAACCUAAAUCCCCAAGCAAUCUUCAUUUCUAAGCGAUUCAUCGACACAAGGAUUCCACCUUGAAUAGUAACAGCUUUGGAGUGUGGGACUUGUUAUCUAUACUUCAAAGCUUGUUCCUUGGAUGGGCAUCCCCACAAUAUCUAGUCUUCACUCACGUCUUUAUGUCCUUGAGUGCUAAGAUGCCUCUUUGACCCGUAUCAGGAGGAUAUGGUGGUCGAGGUACUACAGACUAUCUCUAUUGCAAAAUUUGUUGAAUUAAUUAGCAUAACAUAUUACUCACUCUUUUCAUUUUUAUUAGCACAACAUAUUACUCACGCUUUGUGAAUACCUUUGGUUACAUGUGUUCAGAGUAAGCAUCUAAUUCUACCUAGCAUUAUGUGAUAUUUUAUAGCUGUAUUUUACAAAUUUUCCAUGCUAUGAUAAUAUCUACAAUGCUUCUAUCUCCUAAAAUUUUUAUUGGUUUCAACAAGCAUAUUCAAAAUCACCCUACAAUACAUUCGUUUCUCUGAUGCUAGCUCAAAUACCGCCAACAUGAAUAAAAAAUAUGUCCUUAUUUGCUUUGAAUAUUAUUUUUUAGUUUCAUCGGUGACUUCUCUAUUUAGUUGAUUAAUUUAUGAAUCAAAUAGUCGUAUAUAAAACAUUGAAAUUCAUUUUUAGAUGUAAUCAAAUGUAUUCUUGAAGGUUUAAGAUAGAAUUAUAGAGGUAGCGAAUGAGAUUAUUUUUGACCAAACGACCAAAUACAUGAGAAAUCCUUUAUUUAACUAUUAUUUUUGGAUGAAAGAUUUUGGUGGAGAGGACUGAAAGUGCUAGAACAUUCAUAUUAAAUAGGCCAAAGCAGUUGAAUGCAAAAUCUUUUCAAAUGGUAUGCCAGAAUAUAUUAGCCGACAUUUGAUGAUAGAUUUUGGGAGUAGUUUUUAAAAAAAUUAUCUUUAAAGAUCUAAUUAGGAAAUUUGAUUCACAAAAUGUGAUAUUCAACUAGCUUCAAAUUCUUAAAAACUAGCUUCACUUACAAAGUUUUAAAAUAUGACAUGCAAUUUUGUAAUAUAAUCUACAUUAAGUUAGUCUGAUGAUGAUUUGGUUUCUAGUUUGCCUAAAUACCAUAUGUUUAAUAUUAAAAGAAAAAAAAAAUAUACCUAAUGACAUUGAAUCAUCGUGGAACUUGAAAAACAAGCAUGAAUGUGUUACUUGUUCAUGAUAAUGAUAGCUAGAAUACUAAUUUGAGAUUGGAUUUGUGUUUUGUAUUCUCAUGUAAUUAUAUCGACUAGUAAUUAUUCUUAUUAUAUUUACUUGGUGAACAUCUGAGCUUUGAGUCAUACAAUUUAUGUGAGUGAGUGGAGAUCUAGAUCUGGCAGUGGUAUGAAGGCCGAGAGGUAGCUUUAGUUGAUUCAUCAGUGGAUCUUAGUGUUGUUUGUGGUGUUGAUAUUGUGUUUGUUUAACUUACAUAAUUUGUUGCUCCUCAGGAUUUCAUAAAGGUGAAUUUUUUGUUGAAGCUUUGUUAAUAGUACUGUGUGUGUAUGUGUGUGUAUGUGUGUGUAUGAUUUGGUGUAACUAUGUGAUUAUGUAGUGAUAUUGGAGGUUAGAGAUAGAAUGAUGGAGUUAACAUGAGAUGCGUAAUUGAUCUCGAUGCUAUUUUGAAGGUGAGUAUUAUGUGUGUAUUUUAGUGUGUGAUUUAGUGUAAUUACGUAAGUUGUAUUGGGAUAUUGAAGGUUUGAGAUAGAAUUAUGGAGUUUCUGAAUGAAUUUAUUUUUGGCCAAACGACCAAAUACAUGAAAAAUUCUUUAUUUAACUAUUAUUUUUGGGUGACAAGUUUGGGUGGAGGGGACUUGAUACGAGUACGACCAUGAGGAUGGACAAGAAUGAGUACGUAUUGAAUCCGUCCAAGGAAGUGCACAAGUGAAGUGUAAAAGAGGGCCUAAAUGCAC